UACGCCUCUACGUCACCGCGGCGCUUCCGGCGGCGGCGGGUUGUGCUUCCGGCGUGAGGCUCACGGACAAGAUGGUGCCGCCGGUGCAGGUCUCCCCGCUCAUCAAGCUCGGCCGCUACUCCGCCCUGGUCCUCGGCAUGGCGUACGGAGCCAAGCGCUACAGUUACCUGAAACCCCGGGCGGAGGAGGAGCGGAGGGUGGCCGCCGAGGAGAAGAAGCAGCAGGAGGAACGGAAGCGGAUCGAGCGGGAGCUUGCGGAAGCCCGAGACGACAGCAUCCUGAAGUGAGGCUGCCCUGCCCUGGAGCGGCGCGCGCGCGAAUAAAGGCUUUCUGUGUCGUGCGAUGCUG
Molecule: long non-coding RNA, 348 nt
Organism: Canis lupus familiaris (dog)
Lineage: Eukaryota; Metazoa; Chordata; Mammalia; Carnivora; Canidae
Exons: 4
Source: RefSeq, a predicted model, not a curated record